CUGCCAGUUGACAGCCAGAUAUAUGAUCUUGGCGUCCAUUCGCCCCGCUGGCCUCAGCCUUCCUGCUGUAAAAAGGGGGUUGACAGCAGGCUCCUUAAGACUGCCUCCACCUCUGCCCCCCGACCUUAGCUCAUCCUCCUCUAUUCCAUUAUCCCUGAAGCAUUUGCCUCCUCAUGUAUCUCCUUCCCAAAAGACAAGAUGGCUGGCAGCACGGAAGUGAAAAGGGAAAGAAAGGCUGUUUAAAAAAAAAAAAUUCUAAAAUGAGUCACCUUUCAAGAAUUUCCCAUUUCCUCAUGCCUGGGUGCUUCCUCGUGUCGCUAAAUCAGUUCUUCCAAUGAAACUUGAUCUAAGAACCUGGUAUUUGUUAUGUGCACUGCUCUUGGAUGAUGUUUACAAUGUGCACACAUCUCUUUUAAGAGCUUGUAGGUAUCAAACGACCUCCAGGUUGUGCAUCAAAAAGACAUCAGCAGCCACAGAGUCAACUUUAGUUGAGCCUGGAGAAAAUCAUACAAAACCGUAGAGUUUUAACUAGGUUUUGUAUCAUCUUUUGAUAAGUUAGGAAAAAUAAUUACAGCUCUCCAAACUUCCCACUUAACAACUCCCAGGACCCUGCAGCACCCUAAAAUCUAGCCAGCUCCAAGAAUCACUCUCUACUCCAUACCCGGAUGAGCCUUGACUCACACUAAUUCCCUCCCUGAGGCUUAAGUCAGGGGGCAGCUGAUGGUUGUGGUCUGUGCUGCUUCCGCCUGGCCUAUUUUUCAUGCUGCCAUUUUGAAUUAGCAUAGGUUUCCUCCGCAACUGAUGCAUCUUCUAACCAGGCUGGGAACACAACACGCGCACACGCGCACACACACACGCACGCACCCACCCCACCCGGCUGCCGGACGCAAGCGUAAGUCAAGGACUUGCAUGCUAGAAUCAGACAGAAAAUCCAGAAAAGCCACGUUAUUUAACAGAACCCUACAAGGUCAGCUUUGAGUCAAAGCAGGACGGAGCCCUGACAGCAAUGUUUGCUACGGCCUCCCUCUGCAGUCAGCCUAAAGCAAGGAGCUGGAGGUAGAUGAGGCAAAGGUAAAGGAGACCAAAACAGUAUUUUAAAGAAAAAAUCAUUUAUCUUCAAAUAGGCUCCAAACCUAAGAUGGUGUAUACUGUUAGAGGACAAGAACCUGCUUCUAGCCAUCUUUGCGUCUCCAGGACCUGACUUGUGACCAUUCAAUAAGAGUUUGAUAGAUGGACAGACUAAUGAAUAGAUGAAGAUGAUUAGAAGCCAAAAUUUCUGAAUCUUCCUAGCACCCAGAACAUGGCUUAACAUCAAGGAAAUGCUCACUAAAUACUGUCAUAAUGGAAUGAAUGGAACCGAUGCCUAAUUGAAAAUCAUUAGGCUGUAAACCAUUUCCAUGUUCCAAUUUCUUCGUUUAUAGAACAGAAAUGAUAGUGUAACCACCUGAAAAUCCUUCACCUAGACUUCCAAAACCACACCCACCUCAUCAAUGAAGUCUGACUCUCUAGAAAGAAGCAAAUGACUGAAAUCAUGGUCCUGUGCCUUGACCAAAAUACCAUUCGUCAGAACAAAAGAAGUAGGUCAGUGAAACGGCAUUAGUAUAUCCUUCAACAGGCAAAUAAGUGAUAGUGUAGUUUGCUUUUGAAGUCGCUGUGAAAAGUUUUAGGUGAACAUCACCUACACCACAUUAAAAAUGGAAUCAAGUCAUUUUCUUUAAGAAAUGGAGUUUGAGAUAUGAGAAUUCUUUUGGGCUUUUUCUACUUAUUGGCCAAUUAUACACCCAGAUAUAUUUCUGCAAUAUUUCAAAGAUUCUAGUUCUAAUUUGUAUAA
This 1831-nucleotide long non-coding RNA is filed under the name Homo sapiens (human). Its description in RNAcentral is "HSALNT0340049". Lineage: Eukaryota; Metazoa; Chordata; Mammalia; Primates; Hominidae. The record is from RNAcentral.